CCUACGGGAGGCUGCAGUGAGGAAUAUUGGUCAAUGGGCGCGAGCCUGAACCAGCCAAGUAGCGUGAAGGAUGACUGCCCUACGGGUUGUAAAAUUCUUUUAUAAAGGAAUAAAGUGAGGCACGUGUGCCUUUCUGUAUGUACUUUAUGAAUAAGGAUCGGCUAACUCCGUGCCAGCAGCCGCGGUAAUACGGAGGAUCCGAGCGUGAUCCGGAUUUAUUGGGUUUAAAGGGAGCGUAGAUGGUUUGUUAAGUCAGUUGUGAAAGUUUGCGGCUCAACCGUAAAAUUGCAAUUUAUACUGGCAGUCUUGAGUACAGUUGAGGUAGGCGGAAUUCGUGGUGUAGCGGUGAAAUGCUUAGAUAUAACGAAGAACUCCGAUUGCGAAGGCAGCUUACUAAACUGCCACUGACAUUGAUGCUCGAAAGUGUGGGUAUCAAACAGGAUUAGAUACCCUUGUAGUC
This 460-nucleotide ribosomal RNA is filed under the name uncultured bacterium. Its description in RNAcentral is "partial 16S ribosomal RNA". It matches the Rfam family "Bacterial small subunit ribosomal RNA", at positions 338 to 795 of the family's 1533-position model. The record is from RNAcentral.